GACGGAGGGGGCUAGCGUUGUUCGGAAUUACUGGGCGUAAAGCGUGCGCAGGCGGUUUUGUAAGCCAGAUGUGAAAGCCCCGGGCUCAACCUGGGAAUGGCAUUUGGGACUGCAAGGCUUGAGUGCGGCAGAGGAGACUGGAAUUCCUGGUGUAGCAGUGAAAUGCGUAGAUAUCAGGAGGAAUACCGAUGGCGAAGGCAGGUCUCUGGGCUGACACUGACGCUCAUGCACGAAAGCGUGGGGAGCAAACAGG
Molecule: ribosomal RNA, 253 nt
Filed under: uncultured bacterium
Lineage: Bacteria
Description: partial 16S ribosomal RNA
Rfam family: Bacterial small subunit ribosomal RNA
Source: RNAcentral